Molecule: transfer RNA, 72 nt
Filed under: Ipomoea nil (Japanese morning glory)
Lineage: Eukaryota; Viridiplantae; Streptophyta; Magnoliopsida; Solanales; Convolvulaceae
Rfam family: tRNA
About the family: Transfer RNA (tRNA) molecules are approximately 80 nucleotides in length. Their secondary structure includes four short double-helical elements and three loops (D, anti-codon, and T loops). Further hydrogen bonds mediate the characteristic L-shaped molecular structure. tRNAs have two regions of fundamental functional importance: the anti-codon, which is responsible for specific mRNA codon recognition, and the 3' end, to which the tRNAs corresponding amino acid is attached (by aminoacyl-tRNA synthetases). tRNAs cope with the degeneracy of the genetic code in two manners: having more than one tRNA (with a specific anti-codon) for a particular amino acid; and 'wobble' base-pairing, i.e. permitting non-standard base-pairing at the 3rd anti-codon position.
Source: Rfam by way of RNAcentral
UCCGUUGUAGUCUAGUUGGUUAGGAUACUCGGCUCUCACCUGAGAGACCAGGGUUCGUUCCCGGCAACGGUG